This 301-nucleotide ribosomal RNA is filed under the name uncultured bacterium. Its description in RNAcentral is "bacterial SSU rRNA". It matches the Rfam family "Bacterial small subunit ribosomal RNA", at positions 338 to 656 of the family's 1533-position model. The record is from RNAcentral.
CCUACGGGUUGCAGCAGUGGGGAAUCUUAGACAAUGGGCGCAAGCCUGAUCUAGCCAUGCCGCGUGAGUGAAGAAGGCCUUAGGGUCGUAAAGCUCUUUCGCCAGAGAUGAUAAUGACAGUAUCUGGUAAAGAAACCCCGGCUAACUCCGUGCCAGCAGCCGCGGUAAUACGGAGGGGGUUAGCGUUGUUCGGAAUUACUGGGCGUAAAGCGCACGUAGGCGGAUCAGAAAGUUGGGGGUGAAAUCCCAGGGCUCAACCCUGGAACGGCCUCCAAAACUCCUGGUCUUGAGUUCGAGAGAG